GUGCUUGCUUCGGCAGCACAUAUACUAAAAUUGGAACAAUACAGAAAACAUUAGCAUGGCCCCUGUGCAAGUAUGACACGCAAAUUUGUGAAGCGUUCCAUAUUAAA
This is a small nuclear RNA of Cervus hanglu yarkandensis (Yarkand deer), 107 nucleotides long. The record is from Ensembl. NCBI's taxonomy places the organism in Eukaryota, Metazoa, Chordata, Mammalia, Artiodactyla, Cervidae.